Long non-coding RNA from Mauremys reevesii (Reeves's turtle), 553 nucleotides. RefSeq lists it as uncharacterized. The transcript has 2 exons. The record is from RefSeq and is a predicted model, not a curated record. NCBI's taxonomy places the organism in Eukaryota, Metazoa, Chordata, Testudines, Geoemydidae.
GGCCCAGGUGGCUGCUAUCAGCCACAGGCAGGCCUGUGGGUUCCUGACCAGCGUGUAGUGCAGUGGGUUAAAGAGGGCCAUGUAGCAGUCACAGGCCAUGACAGCCGGCAGAAUGGCCUUCCUGCUGCCCAGGAAGUGGAAGAAAUGGAACUGGGUGAGGCAGCUCAUAAAGGAGAUGGCCUGGUGCCCCAAGAGGAAGCCGGCCAGCAUCUUAGAAUAGAAGAGAGAAACAAGCUCCUAUUGAAUGAACUUCUGGAUGGUGUGCUGAAUCUGUGGAACAAAUGAACCUUUUUAUCAUAUUCACAGUCUAAAUCACAGGGGAGAACCAAUUUCCAUUCUCUAGAUGGCUCCUCUGGGGCAGAAUCUCUGAACCACAUGAGGGUCACUGGUAUGUGCAUAACAAGGCAAGAGUUCCCUACAGAGAACAAAGUCAAGCAGGCAGGAGCUGCUGGGAAAAUAAAUAAAGCAAAAAUCCUAAGGGAGUUAGGCACUCAACUUCCAUUCAAUAUAUUUGAAUAGCCCAGCCUAAACAAAUAAAACCCUGGUUAGCAAA